UACGAAGGGUGCAAACGUUGCUCGGAAUUAUUGGGCGUAAAGCGCACGUAGGCGGCAUUGCAAGUCGGAUGUGAAAUCUUAUGGCUUAACCAUAAAAGUGCAUCCGAAACUGCAGUGCUUGAGUACUUAAGAGGAUCGCGGAAUUCCCGGUGUAGAGGUGAAAUUCGUAGAUAUCGGGAGGAACACCAGUGGCGAAGGCGGCGAUCUGGGAAGAUACUGACGCUGAGGUGCGAAAGCGUGGGGAGCAACAGG
Molecule: ribosomal RNA, 252 nt
Filed under: uncultured bacterium
Lineage: Bacteria
Description: partial 16S ribosomal RNA
Rfam family: Bacterial small subunit ribosomal RNA
Source: RNAcentral